This 255-nucleotide ribosomal RNA is filed under the name uncultured bacterium. Its description in RNAcentral is "partial 16S ribosomal RNA". It matches the Rfam family "Bacterial small subunit ribosomal RNA", at positions 524 to 776 of the family's 1533-position model. The record is from RNAcentral.
UACGGAGGGAGCUAGCGUUGUUCGGAAUUACUGGGCGUAAAGCGCACGUAGGCGGCUUUGUAAGUUAGAGGUGGAAAGCCCGGGGCUCAACCCCGGAAUUGCCUUUAAGACUGCAUCGCUAGAAUUGUGGAGAGGUAAGUGGAAUUCCGAGUGUAGAGGUGAAAUUCGUAGAUAUUCGGAAGAACACCAGUGGCGAAGGCGACUUACUGGACACAUAUUGACGCUGAGGUGGCGAAAGCGUGGGGAGCAAACAGG